RNAcentral lists this microRNA precursor (64 nucleotides) under Chrysemys picta bellii (western painted turtle). RNAcentral's name for it is "Cpi-Mir-29-P1b-v1_pre stem-loop". It matches the Rfam family "mir-29 microRNA precursor family", at positions 5 to 66 of the family's 70-position model. Rfam says of the family: This family represents the microRNA (miRNA) precursors mir-29. Animal miRNAs are transcribed as ~70nt precursors and subsequently processed by the Dicer enzyme to give a ~22nt product. Lineage: Eukaryota; Metazoa; Chordata; Testudines; Emydidae. The record is from RNAcentral.
GCUGGUUUCAUAUGGUGGUUUAGAUUUAACUACUCCGUGUCUAGCACCAUUUGAAAUCAGUGUU